CAGUCGCCGCGGUAAUACGUAGGUGGCAAGCGUUGUCCGGAAUUAUUGGGCGUAAAGCGCGCGCAGGCGGAUAGGUCAGUCUGUCUUAAAAGUUCGGGGCUUAACCCCGUGAUGGGAUGGAAACUGCCAAUCUAGAGUAUCGGAUAGGAAAGUGGAAUUCCUAGUGUAGCGGUGAAAUGCGUAGAUAUUAGGAAGAACACCAGUGGCGAAGGCGACUUUCUGGACGAAAACUGACGCUGAGGCGCGAAAGCCAGGGGAGCGAACGGGAUUAGAUACCCGCGUAGUCCCUGUCUCUUAUACA
Molecule: ribosomal RNA, 301 nt
Filed under: uncultured bacterium
Lineage: Bacteria
Description: partial 16S ribosomal RNA
Rfam family: Bacterial small subunit ribosomal RNA
Source: RNAcentral